CUCUUUUACCCCUUCUCUUGCAUUCUUUUGGGUUUCCUCAGAAACAUAUUUCCUUUAGAAGGAAGAUCACCAAAAUGGGUACAAAUCAGGUCAAAUAUUUUUGUCUCCUUUGUUUAAGGUUUGAAACCACGUAGGUAUAAAUAUGACUUGCAUAAUGUGAGCCUUCUUCGAUGCUGGAAAGAAAUUAUUUCAGCAUGCCUUUACCUGCAGUAUGAUUUGUGUUUCCACAAAUGAUCCAAGACUUAGGUUUCUUCUCCUUCGUGAGAUGUGACCAUCAACUCAUCUGUAGCAGCUUGUAGAAAAGUAGCUACUUGUACUUCUGUUAAAAGGUGUUCUGCAUAAUUCAGGGUAAGUAAUAUGUUCUAUAGGCAGAAAAAUAAGAACAUACACCGAUUUAUAACUCUUAAG
Molecule: long non-coding RNA, 408 nt
Filed under: Fukomys damarensis (Damara mole-rat)
Lineage: Eukaryota; Metazoa; Chordata; Mammalia; Rodentia; Bathyergidae
Description: lncRNA (ENSFDAG00000026962.1)
Source: RNAcentral